GACGAACGCUGGCGGCGUGCCUAACACAUGCAAGUCGAGCGCUGAAGGUUGGUUCUCUUCUCAAUUGGAUGAGCAGCGAAUGGGUGAGUCACGCGUGGGUAAUCUGCCUUUGAGCGGGGGAUAACAUUUGGAACCGUAUGCUCACAUCGCAUCAAAACGUUAAAGACAAGUUUUAUGUUUCAAAGAUGCAAUUGAAUCACUCAAAGCUGAUUCCGCGUUGUAUUAGCUAGGUGGUGAGGUAAAGGCCCACCAAGGCGAUGAUACAUAGCCGACCUGAUAGGGAGAUCGGCCACAAUGGGAAUGAGACACCGCCCAAACUCCUACGGGGGGCAGCAGUAGGGGAACUUCGGCAAUUGACGGAAGUCUGGCCGCACAACGCCGCGGGAGGGGAGGAGGUUUUCGGAUCGUAAAACUCUGUUGGUAGAGAAGAACGUGGAGGAGGGUGAAAAGCUGAUCAAGUGACGUUAACUACCCAAAAAGGAACGGCUAACUACGUG
This 497-nucleotide ribosomal RNA is filed under the name uncultured bacterium. RNAcentral describes it as "partial 16S ribosomal RNA". It matches the Rfam family "Bacterial small subunit ribosomal RNA", at positions 28 to 507 of the family's 1533-position model. The record is from RNAcentral.